AUAUAGAGUCUCACUCUGUGGUCCAGGCUGAAGUACAGUGGCAUGAUCCCAGGUCACUGCAACCCCCACCUCCCGGGUUCAAGUGAUCCUCCUGCCUCAGCCUCCCGAGUAGCUGGUAUUACAGGCGUGUGCCACAAAGCCUGGCUAAGUUUUGUAUUUUUAGUAGAGACGGGGUUUCACCAUGUUGGCCAGGUUGGUCUCGAACUCCUGACCUCAAGUGAUCCACUCACUUUGGCCUUUCAACGUGCUGGGAUUACAGGCGAGAGUCACCGCACCCGGACGACUCUGACAUUUUUGAAGAGUCCAGAAUCCUGUUACACCUGGGAUUUAGGCACUUUCAAUCUGAAAAAAUACAUAUCCUUUCAGCACUCUGGACGGACUUGAGAACUGUCCUUACGUGACCUAAAGCUGGAGUAUUUUGAGAUUGGAGAAUUAAGAGCCAGUCUUGGUGCUCUGUGUUCACCUGGUUCAUCUGAGGAGCUGCAUCUACCCUGCCCAUGCCAUAGAUCCUGCCCUGUUUGCUUCUCCUGUUGCUGCUAGUGGACAUGAGGUAACCACAGCCUAGUUCUGUGAUAAGCUCUUCACACCUGUACCCAUAUGGACUGUGGGAGAGUUUCUCUGAUAUGGACUGUGAUGCGGGUCACCCGAUAUAGAAUCACACACCUG
RNAcentral lists this long non-coding RNA (666 nucleotides) under Homo sapiens (human). Its description in RNAcentral is "non-protein coding PVT1:76". The stretch from base 308 to 437 matches the Rfam family "Pvt1 oncogene conserved region 5". Lineage: Eukaryota; Metazoa; Chordata; Mammalia; Primates; Hominidae. The record is from RNAcentral.